GAGGAGUGGUAGGGGAGCGUUCUCUAUGGGCAGAAGCUGCAUUGUAAAGUGCGGUGGACGGUAGAGAAGUGAUUAUGCUGACAUGAGUAACGAUAAAACAGGUGAAAAACCUGUUCGCCGAAAACCCAAGGUUUCCUGGGUAAAGUUAAUCUUCCCAGGGUGAGUCGGACCCUAAGGCGAGGGCGAAAGCCGUAGCUGAUGGAAAACGGGUUAAUAUUCCCGUACUUCUUAUGGUGUGCGAUGGAGGGACGCAGAAAGAUAGGUGGGCCAACUGUUGGAUGUUGGUGCAAGCUGGUAGGAAUGCCUCGCCGGCAAAUCCGCGAGGUGAAUCCGAGAAGCGAGUCCGUGGGCGCAAGCCCUGAAGCCAUUGAGUCUCCGCUGCCAAGAAAAGCUCCUAAGUUUAGCCAUGAGGAUCCGUACUGCAAACCAACUCAGGUGGGUGGGAUGAAUAAUCCGAGGCGCUCGAGAGAACUCUGGCCAAGGAACUCGGCAAAAUGACCCCGUAACUUCGGAAGAAGGGGUGCUUUUUCAGGUGACCAUUUUUACAUUGGAAGCCAGAGGAAGCCGCAGUGAAUUGGUGGUGGCGACUGUUUACUAAAAACAUAGGUCUGUGCGAAGUCGCAAGACGACGUAUACGGACUGACGCCUGCCCGGUGCCGGAAGGUUAAGAGGAGAGGUCAGCGCAAGCGAAGCCUUGAAUCGAAGCCCCGGUAAACGGCGGCCGUAACUAUAACGGUCCUAAGGUAGCGAAAUUCCUUGUCGGGUAAGUUCCGACCUGCACGAAUGGCGUAACGAUCUCCACACUGUCUCGGCCAGAGACUCGGUGAAAUUGAAGUCGCGGUGAAAAUGCCGUGUACCCGCAGAAAGACGGAAAGACCCUGUGCACCUUUACUAUAGCUUGACAUUGGAUUUUGGGCCUACAUGUGUAGGAUAGGUGGGAGGCAAUGAAAUCUGUACGCCAGUAUGGAUGGAGCCACUGUUGAAAUACCACCCUUGUAUGUCUAAGGUCCUAACUCCACGCAGUGAACCUGCUGGAAGACAUUGUCUGGUGGGUAGUUUGACUGGGGCGGUCGCCUCCUAAAGAGUAACGGAGGCAUGCAAAGGUUCCCUCAGGCUGUUCGGAAACCAGCCGUUGAGUGCAAACGCAUAAGGGAGCUUGACUGCAAGAGAGACAUCU
This 1177-nucleotide ribosomal RNA is filed under the name human gut metagenome. RNAcentral's name for it is "bacterial LSU rRNA". It matches the Rfam family "Bacterial large subunit ribosomal RNA", at positions 1220 to 2389 of the family's 2925-position model. The record is from RNAcentral.